RNAcentral lists this transfer RNA (68 nucleotides) under Amitermes dentatus. RNAcentral describes it as "tRNA-Leu". Lineage: Eukaryota; Metazoa; Arthropoda; Insecta; Blattodea; Termitidae. The record is from RNAcentral.
UCUAACGUGGCAGAUAAGUGCGGUGGAUUUAAGCUCCACAAAUAAAGUCAAUAAGACUUUCAUUAGAA